Molecule: long non-coding RNA, 349 nt
Filed under: Mus caroli (Ryukyu mouse)
Lineage: Eukaryota; Metazoa; Chordata; Mammalia; Rodentia; Muridae
Description: predicted gene 10062 (MGP_CAROLIEiJ_G0005996.1)
Source: RNAcentral
AAUUCUUGUGCAUCCUAGACAAGAUCAAAUAUGGAAUUAUCCAGAAUAUAAGCAGUACAUUUAAUGAAGCUCAAAAGAUACUUUCCUCUGAAGACAAUGGGAAGGAACUGGAAAACCUCUGAAGUUACAGAAAGUUCCGUUUUACAAAGAUGUUUGAGAAACAAAGAUCUUUACCAAACUUUUUAAAAAGUUAAUGCACAAAACUGAAGGCUGCUGAAACAAAGAUGUUCAGAAAGAACAAACCACCAAAAUUACAUUAAUUUGAAGAUAAGUCAGCUAUUAAAAGCCCAGUUGUUAGCUCAUAUGCAAUCUGAAUUAUUGCUUUUAAAUAAAUGGUUAUACUAAGGAA